UUGAUGAACGCUAGCUACAGGCUUAACACAUGCAAGUCGAGGGGCAGCAUGGUCUUAGCUUGCUAAGGCCGAUGGCGACCGGCGCACGGGUGAGUAACGCGUAUCCAACCUGCCUUACACUCUUGGACAGCCUUCUGAAAGGGAGAUUAAUACAAGAUGUUAUCAUGAGUAAGCAUUUUCACAUGAUUAAAGGUUUACCGGUGUAAGAUGGGGAUGCGUUCCAUUAGAUAGUAGGCGGGGUAACGGCCCACCUAGUCUUCGAUGGAUAGGGGUUCUGAGAGGAAGGUCCCCCACAUUGGAACUGAGACACGGUCCAAACUCCUACGGGAGGCAGCAGUGAGGAAUAUUGGUCAAUGGACGAGAGUCUGAACCAGCCAAGUAGCGUGAAGGAUGAAGGUUCUAUGGAUUGUAAACUUCUUUUAUACGGGAAUAAACGAAUCCACGUGUGGAUUUUUGCAUGUACCGUAUGAAUAAGGAUCGGCUAACUCCGUGCCAGCAGCCGCGGUAAUACGGAGGAUCCGAGCGUUAUCCGGAUUUAUUGGGUUUAAAGGGAGCGUAGAUGGGUUGUUAAGUCAGUUGUGAAAGUUUGCGGCUCAACCGUAAAAUUGCAAUUGAUACUGGCAGUCUUGAGUACAGUUGAGGUAGGCGGAAUUCGUGGUGUAGCGGUGAAAUGCUUAGAUAUCACGAAGAACUCCGAUUGCGAAGGCAGCUUACUAACCUGUAACUGACAUUGAUGCUCGAAAGUGUGGGUAUCAAACAGGAUUAGAUACCCUGGUAGUCCACACGGUAAACGAUGAAUACUCGCUGUAGGCGAUAUACAGUCUGCGGCCAAGCGAAAGCAUUAAGUAUUCCACCUGGGGAGUACGCCGGCAACGGUGAAACUCAAAGGAAUUGACGGGGGCCCGCACAAGCGGAGGAACAUGUGGUUUAAUUCGAUGAUACGCGAGGAACCUUACCCGGGCUUAAAUUGCAACCGAAUAUGGCGGAAACGCUAUAGCUAGCAAUAGCGGUUGUGAAGGUGCUGCAUGGUUGUCGUCAGCUCGUGCCGUGAGGUGUCGGCUUAAGUGCCAUAACGAGCGCAACCCUUGCCGAUAGUUACUAACAGGUCAUGCUGAGGACUCUGUCGGGACUGCCAUCGUAAGAUGUGAGGAAGGUGGGGAUGACGUCAAAUCAGCACGGCCCUUACGUCCGGGGCUACACACGUGUUACAAUGGGGGGUACAGAGGGCUGCUACCACGCAAGUGGAUGCCAAUCCCAAAAACCUCUCUCAGUUCGGAUUGAAGUCUGCAACCCGACUUCAUGAAGCUGGAUUCGCUAGUAAUCGCGCAUCAGCCACGGCGCGGUGAAUACGUUCCCGGGCCUUGUACACACCGCCCGUCAAGCCAUGGGAGCCGGGGGUACCUGAAGUGCGUAACCGCAAGGAGCGCCCUAGGGUAAAA
This 1439-nucleotide ribosomal RNA is filed under the name uncultured organism. RNAcentral's name for it is "SSU rRNA". It matches the Rfam family "Bacterial small subunit ribosomal RNA". The record is from RNAcentral.